GAUGAAGAACGUAGCGAAAUGCGAUAAGUAAUGUGAAUUGCAGAAUUCAGUGAAUCAUCGAAUCUUUGAACGCACAUUGCGCCCCUUGGUAUUCCGAGGGGCAUGCCUGUUCGAGCGUCAUUAUAACCCCUCAAGCUCAGCUUGGUGUUGGGGCCUGCUGCACUGGCAGCCCUUAAAAUCAGUGGCGGCGCCAUCUGGCUCUAAGCGUAGUAAUUCUUCUCGCUAUGGAGUCCUGGUGGAUGCUUGCCAUCAACCCCCAAUUUUUCUAUGGUUGAACUCGUAUCAGGUAGGGAUACCCGCUGAACUUAAGCAUAUCAAUAAGCGGAGGA
This 329-nucleotide unclassified non-coding RNA is filed under the name soil metagenome. RNAcentral describes it as "partial contains 5.8S ribosomal RNA, internal transcribed spacer 2, and large subunit ribosomal RNA". The stretch from base 1 to 120 matches the Rfam family "5.8S ribosomal RNA", at positions 35 to 154 of the family's 154-position model. The record is from RNAcentral.